This 468-nucleotide ribosomal RNA is filed under the name uncultured bacterium. RNAcentral's name for it is "partial 16S ribosomal RNA". It matches the Rfam family "Bacterial small subunit ribosomal RNA", at positions 28 to 507 of the family's 1533-position model. The record is from RNAcentral.
GACGAACGCUGGCGGCGUGCUUAACACAUGCAAGUCGAACGGAAAGGCCCUGCUUUUGUGGGGUGCUCGAGUGGCGAACGGGUGAGUAACACGUGAGUAACCUGCCCUUGACUUUGGGAUAACUUCAGGAAACUGGGGCUAAUACCGGAUAGGAGCUCCUGCUGCAUGGUGGGGGUUGGAAAGUUUCGGCGGUUGGGGAUGGACUCGCGGCUUAUCAGCUUGUUGGUGGGGUAGUGGCUUACCAAGGCUUUGACGGGUAGCCGGCCUGAGAGGGUGACCGGCCACAUUGGGACUGAGAUACGGCCCAGACUCCUACGUGAGGCAGCAGGGGGGAAUAUGGCACAAUGGGCGGAAGCCUGAUGCAGCAACGCCGCGUGCGGGAUGACGGCCUGCGGGUUGUAAACCGCUUUCGCCUGUGACGAAGCGUGAGUGACGGUAAUGGGUAAAGAAGCACCGGCUAACUACGUG